RNAcentral lists this ribosomal RNA (883 nucleotides) under uncultured bacterium. RNAcentral describes it as "bacterial SSU rRNA". It matches the Rfam family "Bacterial small subunit ribosomal RNA", at positions 15 to 892 of the family's 1533-position model. The record is from RNAcentral.
GAUCCUGGCUCAGGAUGAGCGCUAGCGAUAGGCCUAACACAUGCAAGUCGAGGGGCAGCGGAGUGUAGCAAUACAUUGCCGGCGACCGGCGCACGGGUGAAUAACGCGUAUGCAACCUACCUAUAACAGGGGGAUAACCCGGAGAAAUCCGGACUAAUACCGCAUAAAACAGGGGCUCCGCAUGGAGAUAUUUGUUAAAGAUUUAUCGGUUAUAGAUGGGCAUGCGUUCCAUUAGCCAGUUGGUGAGGUAACGGCUCACCAAAGCAACGAUGGAUAGGGGAACUGAGAGGUUUGUCCCCCACACUGGAACUGAGACACGGACCAGACUCCUACGGGAGGCAGCAGUGAGGAAUAUUGGUCAAUGGGCGAGAGCCUGAACCAGCCAAAUCGCGUGAAGGAAGACUGCCUUAUGGGUUGUAAACUUCUUUUGUACAGGAAUAAAAAGAGGGACGUGUCCCUCCUUGCAUGUACUGUACGAAUAAGCAUCGGCUAACUCCGUGCCAGCAGCCGCGGUAAUACGGAGGAUGCGAGCGUUAUCCGGAUUUAUUGGGUUUAAAGGGUGCGCAGGCGGGCACUUAAGUCAGCGGUGAAAUCUCCAGGCUCAACCUGGAACCUGCCGUUGAAACUGGGUGCCUUGAGUAUAGAUGAAGUAGGCGGAAUUCGUUGUGUAGCGGUGACAUGCUUAGAUAUAACGAGGAACUCCAAUUGCGUAGGCAGCUUACUAAACUAUAACUGACGCUCAAGCACGAAAGCGUGGGGAUCAAACAGGAUUAGAUACCCUGGUAGUCCACGCCGUAAACGAUGAUUACUAGUUGUAUGCGAUAUGAUAGUAUGUGACUAAGCGAAAGCGAUAAGUAAUCCACCUGGGGAGUACGCCGGCAAC